GGCUCGUAGCGGAGGACAUAUCCGCUGCGGAGGAGCAUAUGAACAAGCGGAGGACUGAGUUUUUUGGGAUGCGCGAACUAUUGCUUUGGCUUGGCCUUCGGGUUGGGCCAGAGUGCUGUGAACUUCAAUUUUAUUGAAUUGUUUUUUUAACCAUAAGUCAAUUUGUUUGAUUAAAUUCAAAAUAAUCUUCAAAACUUUCAACAACGGAUCUCUAGGUUCUCGCAUCGAUGAAGAACGCAGCGAAAUGCGAUAAGUAAUAUGAAUUGCAGAUUUUCGUGAAUCAUCGAAUCUUUGAACGCACAUUGCGCCCUUUGGUAUUCCAAAGGGCAUGCCUGUUUGAGCGUCAUUUCUCCUUCAAACCCCCGGGUUUGGUAUUGAGUGAUACUCUUAGUCAGACUAGGCGUUUGCUUGAAAAGUAUCGGCAUGAGUGCGCUAGAUAGUGCCUCCGAUUAUUCAAUGUAUUAGGUUUAUCCAACUCGUUGAACGGUCGGGACGUAAAUUUCUGGUAGCUGGCUCGGCCUUACAACAACAAACAAGUUUGACCUCAAAUCAGGUAAGAAUACCCGCUGAACUUAAGCAUAUCAAUAAGGCGGAGGAAGGG
RNAcentral lists this ribosomal RNA (601 nucleotides) under Yamadazyma scolyti. Its description in RNAcentral is "eukaryotic LSU rRNA". The stretch from base 193 to 346 matches the Rfam family "5.8S ribosomal RNA". The record is from RNAcentral. Lineage: Eukaryota; Fungi; Ascomycota; Pichiomycetes; Serinales; Debaryomycetaceae.